GAGAGAGAGAGAGUACACAGUAGGUUAUGCAGCUUCAGCAUCAGCAACCAGAGUCUGAGAGAGAGAGAGAGUACAAAAGGUCAUGCUGCUUCAGCAUCAGCAGCCGGAGUCUGAGAGAGAGAGAGAGAGAGAGAGAGAGAGAGUACAAAAGGUCAUGCUGCUUCAGCAUCAGCAGCCGGAGUCUGAGAGAGAGAGAGAGAGAGAGAGAGAGAGAGAGAGA
Long non-coding RNA from Astyanax mexicanus (Mexican tetra), 220 nucleotides. RefSeq lists it as uncharacterized. The transcript is spliced from 2 exons. Lineage: Eukaryota; Metazoa; Chordata; Actinopteri; Characiformes; Acestrorhamphidae. The record is from RefSeq and is a predicted model, not a curated record.